Cyprinodon tularosa is the source of this 1155-nucleotide long non-coding RNA. RefSeq lists it as uncharacterized. The record is from RefSeq and is a predicted model, not a curated record. Lineage: Eukaryota; Metazoa; Chordata; Actinopteri; Cyprinodontiformes; Cyprinodontidae. The transcript has 3 exons.
AGAAAAAAGUAGUUGUUAAAACCCAGAUGAAAUGACGUCACGCGUGACCCACACCGCAUCGCGAGAUGCCCCGCCAUAUUGCAAAUGCAGACCUGUAAACACAGAUCGCCUGUCAUCAGAAACGCUGUAAAACUUUUUACGUGCAAGAUAAUUCAAGUCCAAUGAAGAAAAGUGAGCAGAUGGAUACAACAUAGUCAUUACCAUUUAAUAACGAGCUAUAAUGAAAAUGACUAGAUUUCCCUCUUCAGGUAAGUCUACACAGCCCUGCUGACUGCCUGAGAGGUGAGAGCGCUUAUCUAAACCAAUCAUUAAUGUGUGAAUACAUUCUAUAGGUAUAAUUUGAUCAUUUGCAUGCUCCAAGUCAUGAUCAUACUUGACUUUGUUCUUAUUGAAUAUCUUUUAGUUUCCCCCCAUGGACUUGAAUGUAUUUUAUUGCUUAGUUUAUUCAUUUAUUUGUUUUAUUGAUGCUGCAGACUUGGGUGUGUAAACCGUUCAAUGAAUAAAGUCUGACUGGGAAGCAUCUGUCAUUCCCCUUGCAUGCAUAGGGAGUUCAUGCAGACUCCAAAAAUAAACUCCUGGCAUUAAAUAAAACCUCUUCCCUUCAUGCAUUUCUAUUCAUACAGCAAUCCCCCAUCAGAUAAGAUGAUUAUCGCCUGCAUGAAAUACUAGAGUUUUAUUUCAUUAUUUAUUCCAGUUUAUGUAAGCUUCUCACUUUUGGAGCACUAAGGCUGUGGAUCACAAACAGCAAUGCAGAUACAUGCCAAAUGAAACCUGAAACAGAUGUGAUCUUAAAGUGAGGGUUAAUUUCACAGAAACUUCAGGUCUUCUGAUUUUUUUCUUAAUUUUUAGAACUUGGGGAAGAAUAACCUAUCAAACUUCUAUAUGAAUAAUAUGUCUGCAGGUGCCUUAGAUUUAAUUAUUGCUAGAGUGGAGUGGAUGGAGGGAUGUGAUUGGAAAGACCCUACCUCAGACUGGUGUGGCAUUAAUAGGAGCCAAAGCAGCCAGACGGUUUUUCCUUCCAGUUCAAAGACGGUCAGCAGAUGAACCUUUAAGCCACAGAAACUUCUUCAGAUCAAUAGAUAUAAGCCGAUGGCUGAUGCACACAUUGGUAAAAGGCUUUGGAAGGAAAACGAUGGAAGACCAAAUUCUGCAAAG